CAGAGGGUGAGGGCUAUGACCUUGAAGCUUCACAGCGCCCCCCACCUCCAACCCCACAGCUCCGGAUGGCCAGGAAGGGGGGCGGUGGUGAGAGCAGGGGGAGGCGCGUGGUGGGGAAAGCAGCCGGCCCACAGCGCUCCUUGCCCGCCCCCCCCCCACACCAGCUGUCUCGACAGAGAUCCUGCCUGCAAAUGAAGUCAGUGAUGAGAAAGUAAAACUGAGAGGUGCUUCCUGAUGACAUCAUCUGACAACUGGAGUAGUCAUGCCUUCUGUCCUUGAAGUCUUCAAUGACAUGACCCAGACCUUGCACAGACACGUGUCCAGUAGCUGCGCACAGAGAAGCUCCGGGGCCAGGCCCAAGCAGAGGCGCGACGCUACCAGUCCCGCCAGGGCAGCGCCAGACAUCGCGU
Zalophus californianus (California sea lion) is the source of this 410-nucleotide long non-coding RNA. RefSeq lists it as uncharacterized. Lineage: Eukaryota; Metazoa; Chordata; Mammalia; Carnivora; Otariidae. The transcript is spliced from 3 exons. The record is from RefSeq and is a predicted model, not a curated record.